AACCUUAUGGACCUGCGGGCGUAUACCUGCGGAAGGAUCAUUACACAAUACAAUAUGAAGGCUGUCCGCAGCUGGAGUAUUUUAUUACCCUUGUCUUUUGCGCACUUGUUGUUUCCUGGGCGGGUUCGCUCGCCACCAGGACCACCUAAUAAACCUUUUUUAUGCAGUUGCAAUCAGCGUCAGUACAAACAAUGUAAAUCAUUUACAACUUUCAACAACGGAUCUCAGAUCGGAAGAGCA
RNAcentral lists this unclassified non-coding RNA (240 nucleotides) under soil metagenome. RNAcentral's name for it is "partial contains 5.8S ribosomal RNA, internal transcribed spacer 2, and large subunit ribosomal RNA". The record is from RNAcentral.